UAUCGGGCAUCGGCCGCUGAGUGACGGGGCUUCUGUAGCUCGACCUUGUGGGUGGUUUCUCUAUCGUGCUCUGCCACCCCAGCUGUAUUACGGUUCUAGAGCUCACUGGCACGACACACACACACACACACACACAAUAUAGAAUAAUAAUAAAGAGAAAAAGGGCGCGGCUGCACUUGAACACCCCGCCAAGCGCAGAAUGCAGCACUCCUCUUACGGCGCUUCACUUCCCGAUGCGCUGGUGCGUGCCAUACGCGCAGCCAGCAAGCCCUUUUUCCAGAUUCAGGCCUCCCGGUACGCGCAAGAAGCCAACAGCAGGUCGGACUUGGGUUUCGUGUCGCUUGUGAUGAAGACGAAGGCACUCGUGCCGCAGGAAAAGUUUGAUAGCAGCCACCUGUUGCCCAGUGCCUGGUCUGAGCUGUACCGCACUGCUGUGAAGGAGUUGGCGGACGCCGACGCCAAGGAGCUCUGGGGCCUCGUCUCCGUAGUGCUAAGAGUGGUGGAGCAGGGCGCGGUUGACUGCGUAAACGCGAGUGCCGCCAUUGUCGAGUGGCACAGCUGGUUUGACGAUGAACUCGCAGACGCCGGAGCGGUGAUUCGGCAGCUGCAGUGCGAGGACCCGCACGCCGAUUCGGAUGUUGUUGUCGAGGAGCUCGGGUCGAACGUGUUAGGCCGCAUCGAAGGUGCAUUUCUCACUGGGCACUUCCACGCCGCCGCGUCGCUCAUGGACGCGCUGCUGCUGUACCUGCGCCGCGGUGGGUCAGCACUGCUGACCGCGGAGGUGGAAACAGCCUUGGCGAAUGUGAAGCGGCUGCUCACGGUUACGUUUCACGACCCGGUGAGCCACCGGCAAUGGGUAGAGACCGCGAACGACGAACUUCAGGACUCGCGCAUCACUCUUUUGACUGCGUCCCGAGGCAGCCAGAGCGGCAACGACAAUGGCAGCGGCAGCAGCGCCGGCGGGGCCACUGUGAUGGACAAGCUGGUCGAAGACCUCUGCGCCGCCUCCUUAGACAUUCUCCUGCUCAUCACGAAGGAUGCGAAGCGGAUGUGCGAUCGGUGCCUCGACUCGCACCGCACCGCCACAGAUUUUCUAGUAGCGGUAUGCGCUAUCAUGGAGCCCUACGCAGGCCUCCAGCGUGUAUACUCGCUCUUUGCCAAGUACGUGGAUGACUGGGACAACACCGAUGGUCGUCAGUGGUACUACGAGUGCGUCUUGGCAAUCCUCGGCGUGGGCUCGGUAGUGGACAUGGUGGCGGCGAUGCACGAGGUGGCGAUGAUUGUGGCAGAAACGUUUCCGCAGGCGGCGGCGGUCUCCUCCACUAUCAGCGAUGAAGAUGCAUACGACUGCGACAAAGACGACGCGGAUGAGGUUAGCGAUACUGUGAGCCUCGACGCCGUCACAGCCGCCGCAAAGCCACCGAGUGCAGCAACGACGCGGCGCUUCAUGUUGACCUGCAUGACGGCCCAUAUCGCCGACCUGUGUGCGCCGGCGGUCGUUUCCACCUCAGCAGCCGAUAUUCACUUGACGUUCUGCCGUAACGAACUUGUUACGGCCUACGCGCGGCUCUUUGCAAUGCAUCCCCGCACGUGGCGCAUUGCCGGCCUCUACGCCUGCUACUCGCCCCUCAAUGACCCGCUUUUCCUCAGCGAAAUCGUGCUUGCCGUGGCGCCGGCGGCCGCGGCAGACGAGACUGUGUACCGAAGUCUGCGUGCUUUCUUCCACACAACGUGGAGCACUAGCAGUGACCAUCAGCAGGCGGUGCGCGCAAAGCUGGAGGCCGCGCUGCCGGAGCACGCGGCUGUGGCGAAGUGGUGGUCCGCAAUGGAAUACUACUACUCCCAGUCCUACCGGGACGCACACCGGCAUAUUAUCAUGACGCAGCUAAACAGCGGCAACUGUGUGAGCGCGGUGUGGCUAGCCGUGCAAACACAGCUAACGGAGGUCAUCGAGUCUGAACUGCGCCGUCAGCUGAAGAGCAAAGAUGCCUUGGGGAACGCGCAGCUGUACACGGUAGGCUCCGCCGUCCAAAAUGGGUUCGUUGCCGUAGGUGCAUGCGCAAACAUGGAGCUGGGGCGCUACCUAUGCGCUGCCGCGGCGUUCUCGGCAUACCGGCAAGCCGCGACGGCAGCCGACGCGUCUCUCGCGAUGCUUGCUCAGGGCCAGCCAUCCUCGCUUCAGCCAUCGCGGUCGCCGUCUCGAAAAUUCGAAUUCGCCCUCGCGGCGGCGGCUACGUGCCUGCAGACGAUCGAAUCGGCUUUGAAGAGUGUCGUUGAGUGUCACGCGAUGGUGCACCCGUCCACGAUCUUCACCCUUGUCGAGCACGGUACCUCGCUGCUGCUCUCACUGCGCCAGCUCAUGCGUGUCCCAGGGACAGGGGAGUCUACCGGCUCCGCUCACGUCUCCAGCUGUGUGCUGCCGCUGCUGAUCGAGUCUUACGAGCUCGCAAGCAUCCACAACGUCCACCACGACCCGAACCUCGCAGAUCGCAGUCGCGCCUUGGCCGAGCAGCUGGCUCACGUGCACCAGACCUCCAUUUGAAGGGGCAACAGAGGAACGCUGCUUGAAUGCGGGGGGAGAGCGAAGAAGACGGCCACAUGCAUCCGCGCCCUACCCGCUGCGCACACCCGUGUGCCACGCAAGCACAGGAAAGGCGUAAGACGCACGGCAGGAGAAACCGAUGCGACCGUUGCGUGAUGGGGAGCCGUGUGCCUGUAUGUGGCACGGCUUCUUCAGUGUAGCUGGGUGUUCUCCUGAGGCAAGCAAAGUUGUAGCACGCUGGUUGUUGUUGAGUGUGAGUAUGUGUGCGCGUGUGUGUGCGACAACUCAAUUCCGUAAACCAGGGAAGCAGAAGGAAAGGGCGGAGGGAUUUGUGCAGAGGUGUAUGCAAGUUUAAAAGUCUUCAGAAAGCAAGCAGCGCAUCAUCACCAAUGGCUUAGAUUUAUUUCUCUCAUCUGCGCAGGUCUGAACGGGUGUGUGUGUGUGUGUUACAAGUAGUUCUCCCCUCGCUUCGCUGAGAUUUGGGUGGCGUAACGGGGAGGAGGUGGCAAGAUGGCCGAAGAAGCGGGUGGCGCAGCUGUUGGUGCUGAUCACGUCCCCUAUCUUUGCAUGUGCGAUCACGCCCAAAACAGACAGGCACAUACACACACAUGCCGACUUGUAUGGUCAAAAAUAAGCAGGCAAGGAGGAGGACAAUGCGUUCUUCGAUUCUGUUGUUUCUUUUUUUUUGCCUCUCUCUAUAUGCCAAGCUGGUAAUGUAGUGCACCAUCGCACGCCACGUCCAUUCUCUCGCCUGCUCGUUCUCUCUCCGCCCUCCGUAUUCACCACCGACAACCUCCCUCGUACACCAUCCCGACACGCUCAUGCGUGCUGCAAG
Molecule: unclassified non-coding RNA, 3377 nt
Filed under: Leishmania donovani
Lineage: Eukaryota; Euglenozoa; Kinetoplastea; Trypanosomatida; Trypanosomatidae
Description: gene:LdHU3.35.2140(CDS-product:hypothetical_prote in_conserved)
Source: RNAcentral